CGAACACGAAGAAGAAACGAAGAAGAAGAAGAAACGGUGGCUUGUUCUGUCCCGAUAUCCCACCGCUUUCAGAAACGAAGAGGAAGAAAACGAACCUAACUCGUCCGAGAGAGCGCGGCACCGAUGGCUCCUCCUGUUUCUCAGCCCAUAAAGUCUCUCAACACUGGCCCCGGCCGUCGACGCUUUGUGUUCAAGACGUUCUCUCAGCGUCUCGAGGACGUAGACGUCAAUGUCUUUCGCAGCCUGGAGCCGGUGAAGCCAGAGCCAGCGCAAGGGUCGACCUUCUUCAAGGAUGCUCUGGUUUAUUGGCGGGAAUUAAAUACUGCGGAGGAUUUUAUAUCAGUCUACGAGGAAGUAAUGCCUUUAGUGCAAACAUUGCCACAAAUACUAUUGCAUAAGGAAAAUCUUGUAUCAAAACUCUUGGAAAAGAUCCAUAUGCAGGCAAAAUUGUCUCUUGAACCUCUUCUCAGGUUGACUGCAGUUCUUUCCAGAGAUCUCCAAGAAGAAUUUCUACCUUUUCUCCGGAGGUUAUGCAAAUCAAUUGUUGAACUUUUAAAUAGCGGUGGUGAUCGGGAUCCUGAUAUUCUUGAACAGGUCUUCACGUCGCUUUCUCAGACUUUUAUGUAUCUUCGGAAGUUUCUUGUCAAAGAUAUCGUUAACCUGCUCAAGACAACAAAGAAUCUGAGAUUCUACCCCCGUGACUAUGUUCAAGAAUUUGCAGCUGAGGCACUAUCUUUUUUGCUAAGAAGUGCGUCACCCGAGCAACUCAUUAAAGGUGUUAGAAAGUUAUGUUACGAAGUGUUAAAGUUCCCCACGUCAACAAUAAAAAAUGGGGUGUCUACUUUACUGUGGCAUAGCAUGAGAGGGUCUUCCUCACGACUUCAUUCAAAAGCCAAGCCAAUGGUUCUCCUUUUGAUGGAUAUGUCUAUAUAUGAAUACGCUGAUAAAGUUGGCAAUGGAGCCAAUACUUUUGCUGAGGUUGUAAAUGGAGCUUUUCAGAGAAUAUGCAAGGAACUCCAUGCUCAGGACAUGGACCUAUUGUUGAAGUGCUUAUUUGAGGAGAUGUCUGAUUGCAUAAAGAGCGGAGCUAGGAUGGAUGCUGCAUCUGCGUUGGUAGUCGAAGGGAAUGAUUUAUGUACCACAAAUGGAUUAGAAGGUGGCCUGGACUCAUCAUACUCAAAACAUUGUUCACAACAUGGUUCAGAGAGUGUUGACAGCAAUUCUAAACAUUUAUUGCAUCUCAGUCGCUUGUUGUCUUUUCUUAUCUCCAUUGUGCAAACUGACAAUGGUAAAAAGCUUUCUGAUUUUCACUUCUUGUUGGAGCUUGUGGGGUUACUCAUAGAAAAGUUCAUUGCAUCUGGUACCAUAAUGGAGGAAGACAUGUACAGUUGUAGAGUAGUUGAUGAUAUUUUAGAGCUAAUGCUGACUCUACUUGGUGUUCCUCGAGUUUCUAAUGACUUGUCAAGAAUAUCAGACUUAUCAAUGCAAUGGAGUUGUGUAUUUGACAUUAGGAGCAGAAGGUUAUUUAAUUUUAUAAAAGGUUUGCUUCUGAAGAACUUAUCAGUGGUCAGUGCCUACCGAAACCAUAUAUUUAGAUUUAUGAAUCAAAUGAUUGAGACUUUUCCAGAAGAAACUUUAUGCUUGAUGCUGAUGUUUUAUGAGAAACCUCAAGAAAUUGCACAAAGGGACGAAGCAGUUGGCCGAAACAUUUCUCUCUUUUGCCAAAAUGUUAUCACUUCUUGGAUCAGGCAGAUAAAUUAUGAUGAGAGGUUUGGAGAGGUCAGGUUGUUUGAUAACCUCGAAGUUGCUAAACUAUGGGGAACUAUUAUGUGCUAUCCCCAUGUUCUUCCUUCUGCAUCAAAUGGUUCUUUGUUGAUGGACCUUGUGAAUGCGAUUGAUCAUCUUCUUCUUACUGAAGCCGACCAGGUUGCAGGUCAGAUGAGGUUCACUUGGCAGGGUGUCAUUGGUGCUGCUCUGUCUUCAUACCGACUAUCUGUUGUGCGGGGAGGUGAAGUUUCACAAAUGACCAGUAGAUUUGUGUCUCUUGCACAAAGAUAUAAAAAAUCUUGUCAUGUUUUAUCUGCUGUGGCAGAUUUUUUGGAUGAUGUUCUUAGAUCCAAUCAAGAAAGGAGCAAUGAGACUGAGGUUAUUGCUGAACUUAAGAGUGAGAGGAGUCUGGAAGCAUUUGAUGUAUUUUCUGUGAAUUUGGGAGACCCUAAUAAAGAGAUUCGUCUUUCAACUCUAAGAAUACUAUGUCACUAUGAGCCACUUGAUUCUCAAGUGGCUAAAAGUGACCAGCCUAUGGAUUCAAAAGGAAAGGACAGACCAAUCUCUAUUCAUGAAGAUCUUCAAGAUAAUAAUGUUCUGCAACUAUUACGGUCAAUUGAAACAACACCUCUCUCCAUUUCAACAAUCAGGAGUGUAGAAUUGUGUAUUUCUAAAAUACAAACGGAACUCUCAGCAGGAAGGGUACCUGAAGCUUAUUUGCCGGUUCUCGUGCACGGACUUAUUGGAGUACUUCAUAUUCGGUUCAGUGACCUGCAGAAAUCAUCACUAGAUUGCCUUGCUGUCCUUCUUGAAAGACAUACACCCACUGUUUGGGAUGGUUACGUUCAAUACCUGAGACAUUAUGUGUCGACUUCCUCUGAGUUGCACGAGGAAUUGAAUGUGCCUACCACUGCAUGUGUCACUAUGACUAAGUCAAAUGAUCUGCUUGACAGAUUUCACUUGUCUUUAAACCAUCAGUCUGAUAGCACACCGCCUAUGGUAGUGUUAACAUUGCUGCUGCAGUCACUCCAAAAAGUGCCAAUUAUCACAGAGACUUAUUCUUAUGAAAUUAUCCCAUUGUUCUUCAAGUUUUUGGGCUAUGCAGACAAGGUUCCUUUCUGCAUGGAUAUCUAUGAUCGCGAUGUCUGUAAAGGCAAGAAAUGGAAGGCUCUUCUGAAGGAAUGGCUGAACUUGUUCAAAAGCGUGCAUAAUCCUAGGUCUUUAUGUAGCUGCAAUGAACUUAAGCAGGUUCUGAUAAACAGGUUUCUAGAUGAUACUGAUUCAGAUAUUCAGAUGGGUGUCAUGGAUAUCCUAGCAAACUGGAAGGAUGAAGAACUGCUUCCAUAUGAUGUGCAUCUAAGAAAUUUGAUAAAUGUGAAGGUUUUACGAGAAGAAUUGACAGCAUGGAAGUUGUCCAAGGAGUCUCAUUCAAUAGAAGAAAGCCACAGAGAAUACUUAAUUCCCAUGGUUAUUAGAAUAUUAAUGCCAAAAGUCAGAAAAAUCAAGGCUCUAACUUCACGAAAGAAUGCAGGUGCAGCUCGACGGAAGGCCGUUCUUUGCUUCUUAAGUCAGCUAGAAGUUGAAGAGUUACCUCUUUUCUUCUCAUUGUGUUUUCGGAAUAUAUGUAUGUUGCCAGAUGGCACUGGUUUUGUACAUAGGUCGUACACUUCUGUUCUACAAUAUGUUCAAGAGGUACAGUUGUCAGAUUUUUUCAAGAGUUUCUCUUCAGACAAUUUAGGGAAUCUACAGUGGAAGAAGAUACAUGGAUUCCUUCAUAUUCUGGAGGACAUAUUGAAAGCUUUCCAAGAAUCACAUAUCAAGCCUUUCCUUGGGCUCUUAAUGAUGCUUGUUAUUCAGAUUCUUGAGUGCUGCAAAUCUAGUUUGGUGAUGAAGGCAUCAAACAUAUCCUUGGUGGCAAUUAGUCGUGGCGUCGAUGCAACAAUGACUGAUGGCAGAGACAAGACCCCAAUGUUGGAAGGGCCUUGUGAGCAUGUGGAUUAUGGGGACGAAUUUAAUGAUGUUGGUUCUGGGAAAGCUCAGACAGACACAGAGGAAGACAGACUAAGCUGCGACUCUUUCAAGAGCUCUAAUGUCUUGCAAAAUGGUGUAAUUACAAAGCAGUAUAAGGACAUAAGAGCACUUUGCCUAAAAAUUCUGUCAUUUGUUCUCCAUAAAUAUGGAUCAUACAAGUUUAGCAGGGAGUUUUGGGAUUCCUUUUUCAUUUCAGUGGAGCCACUUAUUGAAAAUUUCACACGGGAGAGCUCUAGUAGUGAAAAGCCAAGUUCUUUGUUGUCAUGCUUUUUGGCUAUGAGCAAAAAUAGUGACCUUGUUCAUCUCUUUGAGAGGAAGCAAAGUCUUGUCCCAAGUAUUCUUUCAAUUUUAUCUGUAACUUCUGCAUCUAGUUCUGUUAUAUCAGCUGUUCUGGGUUUCUUGGAGAACCUUCUGAUGCUGGAUGAAGAAAUGGAACAUGAACAUAGUGUGGUAAAGAAAAUCUUGAUGCCUCAUCUCAGUAUUCUAUUAUCCGAUCUGCAUGGACUUUUACUACGUCAUAAGGGGACUCAAAGUAAGAAAACAAUCACGUGGCCUGGGGAUGAUCAGCUCAGAUUGCUCAGGCUUUUGCUGAAGUACGUAGACCAGCCUUCCCUAGCAGAAAUGUUUAUUUCUAUUGCUCUACAAAGUUUGGAGAAGAAAAAUAUAAAUUCUGAUCACUGUGUUGAAGCUAUGCACAUAAUCGAGGAGGUAUUGCCGCUUAUAGGUCCUGGAAGUUCUGAAAGUGUUCUGAAUAUGAUUCCUUCAGUUCUUAUAAGUGCUGGGCCAGCAAUAAGGUUGGCAAUCUCCGACAUUCUGGAUGGUCUAUCAACUGGUGAUCCAUCUUUAACUUCUCUGGCUAAAUUAGUCCAUGAUCUAAAUGCAAUGUCCGUCUCAGAAAUUGAUGAGUUUGAUUAUGAGACCCGAAUUGGGGCAUAUGAGAAGAUAAACAUGAAGCUAUUUUCUGAGAUGAAAGAGUCACAUGCUGUGGUCAUUUUAUCACACUGUGUAUAUGAUAUGUCAUCAGAAGAGUUGCUGCUGAGACAAAGCGCAUCAAAGUCACUUCUGGCCUUUGUUCAAUUAUCCAGCGUGGUUUUGGAUAAUUCAUGCAAAAAAUCUGCAGACCAACAAUCAUCUGGGAGGAACCAUGAAAACAAUUCUGGAGUUAUUGUCACAAUCGAACCUGAUUGCUGCUGGACCAUAGCAGCCAUCCAUCGCACCAUACACAAGUUUUUCUUAUUACAUAUGAGGGAAGCUAUGGGCCAGGCGAUCUUUAUUCAGAAGGAAUGGAUUGCUUUGUUAAGAGAAAUGGUGUUGCAUCUUUCAGGAAUGCCAAUGUUCCAUGCAUGCCGUCCUCUUUGUAGUGAGGAUGCUGAAGUUGACUUCUUCAACAAUGUCCUCCAUUUGCAGAAGCAUAGAAGGGCUAGAGCACUUUUGCGUUUUAAAGAUGCUGUUUGUUCUCAUGGCAUCCCUGAGGAGAUUACCAUCAAGGUGUUUUCUCCACUCUUUUUCCACAUCCUCUUUGACUUGAAAGAAGGCGAAGAUGAGCACGUUCGAAGAGCUUGCUUGGAGUCUCUUGCUUCUAUAUCAAAGAGUUUGGGUUGGGAAUCCUACUGUAAGUACUUGAUGCAUUGUUUUCGUGAGAUGCGCUUGAAGCCUGACAGAAGUAAGGUCCUUGUACGGCUUAUCUGCUUAGUCUUGGACAUGUUCCAUUACUAUGAAGGAGAAGAUCCAGAUUGCAAAGAGAUUGAGAUUUCAAAUGGUAUUUCUGAUGCCAGCAAUCUGUGCACUGAUUUAGAGAAAAAGUCAAUUAACACUUGUAUAAUCUCACCUCAAAUACAGGCUUCGUUACAAAAGUCAGUACUUCCUCAAAUAGUAAAAAUUAUGUCAGCAGAUUCUGUGAAAAUUAAUGUUCCAAUCAACGUUGCUGCGCUAAAGCUGCUUAAGUUGCUGCCGUCUGAGAUAAUGGACUCACAUCUUUCGGGCGUUAUUCAUCGAAUUGUUAACUUCCUAAGGAGUCGUGUUGAAAGUGAACGUGAUGAAGCUAGGUCUGCAUUGGCUGCAUGCCUGAAGGAGCUUGGUCCUAAAUACCUGUCUUUUGUUGUUAAAAUUCUUCGGUCAACAUUAAAAAGAGGUUAUGAACUGCAUGUAUUAGGUUAUACUCUAAAUUUCUUGUUGUCCAAGGUUGAACCUUGUGUUUAUGAGCUUGAUCACUGUUUGGAAGACUUACUCAUGGUAGUAGAAAAUGAUAUCUUUGGUGAUGUUGGCGAGCAGAAGGAAGUUGGAAAAAUUGCUUCCAAACUGAAGGAAGCUAGAAAGAAAAAAUCUUUCGAGACACUGAAAUUGAUUGCACAAAGUAUUACAUUUAAGACAAAUGCUGUCAAGUUGUUUUCACCUGUGAAGAUCCAUCUCAAGAAUCCCAUGCCAAGAGAGAAAGCAAUGAUCGAAGAAAUGCUGCAUAAUAUAGCUGAAGGGAUUGAAAAAAAUCCCUCAGUAGAUCAUUCUGAUCUUUUGGUUUUCAUCUAUGGGCUUAUUGAAGAUUAUCUUGCAGAUGAAAGGUUUCAAUCUAAAGAGCCUGCUGCCUUACAAAAUGGAAUGAGAUUCGAAAGUGAAGGGAAACGGAAAAGCUUUUAUGAUUUACUUGGAAACAGAAGCAACCACCUUAUAGCUGCAUUUGCUCUUCGUAUACUGUUCGAUCGUUUGAAGAAAAUGAAGCUGGAUAAGAGUAAUAGGGAAUUAUUAUCAAUGCUGGAUCCAUUUGUGGAGCUUUUGCGGAACUGCCUACAGUCCAAGUAUGAAGACAUCUUAUCAGGAUCUCUUAGGUGUCUUAUAGUUCUGAUAAGGCUACCUUUACCAUCAUUUGAGCAGCAGGUAGAAAACAUAACAGCCUUUAUUUUGGAAGUAUCCCAGAAGCCUUUGAAGGCAAAUGAUCUACUAACACAGGCUUCUUUCAAACUUUUGAUAAGGCUAUUACGUGAUCCAAAAUAUCCAUUUUCAGUGAGUCAACUACAAAUGCUUAUGCGGUGUCCCCUACUUGUGGAUCUAGAGAGUAAUCCGUCUGCAAUUUCUCUCUCACUUUUGAAGGCCAUAGUUGCUCGAAAGCUGGUAGUACCUGAGAUAUAUGAUGUUGUUUGUCGGGUUUCUAGGUUGAUGGUCACAAGCCAAUCACCUCCAAUGUCUCAAAGGUGUAGCAAGAUACUUUUGCAAUUUCUUAUGGAUUACCCAUUUACUCCUAAACGCUUACAGCAGCAUCUAGACUUCUUGGUGGAGAAUAUGAGCUAUGAGCAUGCAAGUGGGCGAGAAGCAGUGCUUGAAAUGGUUUACUCUAUAAUAAAAAAGUUUCAGCCUAAAGCUGUUGGUAAUUUGGCUGAGACUUUUAUUCUCCCUUUGGUGCUGCGUUUGUCUAAUGAACUUGAUAAUCAAGUCCAUGCAAUGGUUGCAAAGGUGAUAAAGAUUCUGUUAGGGCGCAUAAAGAAAUACUCCAGUACAAAUGUGCUUCAAAAUAUUCUUCAGUAUGGCCUUUCAUGGUAUGCAGGUGGAAAUCCCAAUUUGUGGUCUGCUGCAGCACAGUUCCUUAGCUUGCUGAUUGAGGUCCUAAAAGGAAGUUUCAGUGUGAAGUAUAUGGAUGAUAUUAGACCAGUAAUGGAGAGGAUAUUGAGGACUGCUCUUCCCACAAGUGAAGGCCUAGGAAGUGAUUCUGUUGGAAAAGAAAAGUACAUUGAUGAUGCUUGGUAUUCACUUCUGCUGAUGGAGAAGCUGUGGUUUCAGUUUACAGAUGCUUUUUUCCAAACACCUUUUGAGGGUAUAUGGGAGCUCGUUCUUGAAUUUCUCAUGCAUCCAAAUCACAGGCUUCAUGAGACAGCAACUUGCCUGAUAAACUCUUAUUUCAGCACUUCAUCAAAGCAAUUAGGACUGAAAGAAUCAAAAUCUAACCAGGAAUUUCCACUACUGCUGAAACCAAGUAGGCUAUUUGCUGUAGCCAGUUCUCUUUGUUGUCAACUUGAGGCACAUCCUGCUGGACCAAAUUAUACCCCGUGCAACACAAUUGUGGAGAAUCUUGUAUUUUCAAUCUGUGGUUUAUACUCUUUUGCUAAGCAUAACUGUGAUCAGAAGUUGCAUGAAUAUUGGUCCAGCCUUGCUGCUUUAGACCACAUGCUUAUUCUCAAAUUUCUUGAAUUGCUUGGAGCAAAAAAGGAGAAAAAUGUUCUCAUUUGCUUGGGAAAUGAGAACCUUGAGGAGGACGUUGCAUCUUUGUUAGUUGUCCCGUUGCUUAAGAAACUGGGUGACGUAGUCCUCCAAUCUCCAAAUUUGGAGCAGAUAAAAGUGGUUUUUAGUUGCUUUAAGCUGAUCUUGACAGAGAUUGGUCUGGAGGGCUGUCUAGAAUAUGCAGCCAUCUUUCUGCUUCCUCUAUAUAAAAUUUCUGAAGGAUUUGCUGGGGUAGUCUUCACUGAUGAGGCAAAAUACCUAGCAGAAGAGCUCCGGGAUAGCAUCCGUGGCAUUCUUGGCAUGGAAGAGUUUGUAAGGGUGUAUGAGCGGAUCCGGAAGAAUGUGAGGAUAAAGAGGGAUAAGAGGAGGCAAGCAGAGAAGGUAACCGCCGUUGUCAAUCCCAUGCGCAGUGCGAAGAGAAAACUCAGGAUUGCGGAGAAACAUAGGGCUCACAAGAAGAGGAAACUCACGUUGAUGAAGAUGGGGAGGUGGGGGAUGUAAACCCCAAGGAUUUUCUACCAGUGUACAGCUGCUGAUUCAAGUCUUCUUUUGGUCUUAAUUUUGGGGAGUUGCAGAGAGAGCCUUCGGUUCAGCAUUUUCUGAUGAUGAACGUUCUCCUGGAAUCACAGGGCGCCUGUUGACGGGGCGCUCUAGAUGGUAAUUAUAUUGAGUGUAAAGCGAGGAUGAAAGGGAUACACGGAAAACAGCAAGUUGGUUGAGGAGUUCUUGAAAGAAAGCGAUGCAAGAGUACUCAAGAGGCAGGGUGGAAGAUUCGAGUCCGUCUCUCUCAAUAGGCCUUAUUAGUUAGUGAUGCUUCGCUUCACCUCUUCACUUUUCCCGCGCCCUUUUGGUACCACAGCGUUGCGCGCACUCUCUCCCAUGGGGAAGACAAUGGAAACAGCAGCGGUGCGCAAUACAAGAAUGAGUCGCCAGAAGGUAAUGAAGGGCCUGCUCGUCCAACAUGUCGAGGAUGAGAACAGAACUUUCAUGGGAGCCGCCAACCCUCAUGGAGCCAUGGCAAACUCAAGGCAAUUAUUUUCCUAGUAACCAGCAAUCUGUCCCUUUCAC
Nymphaea colorata (pocket water lily) is the source of this 9069-nucleotide RNA transcript. RefSeq lists it as uncharacterized. NCBI's taxonomy places the organism in Eukaryota, Viridiplantae, Streptophyta, Magnoliopsida, Nymphaeales, Nymphaeaceae. The record is from RefSeq and is a predicted model, not a curated record. The transcript is spliced from 31 exons.